UACGUAGUCAGCAAGCGUUGUUCGGAAUUACUGGGCGUAAAGAGUGUGUAGGCGGUGCUCUAAGUCUGUUGUGAAAUCUCCCGGCUUAACCGGGAGGGUGCGGCGGAAACUGGAGUGCUUGAGGGUGGGAGAGGUAAGCGGAAUUCCUGGUGUAGCGGUGAAAUGCGUAGAUAUCUGGAGGAACACCGGUGGCGAAGGCGGCCUGCUGGGCAGUUGCUGACACUGAGGCGCGACAGCGUGGGGAGCAAACAGG
Molecule: ribosomal RNA, 253 nt
Filed under: uncultured bacterium
Lineage: Bacteria
Description: partial 16S ribosomal RNA
Rfam family: Bacterial small subunit ribosomal RNA
Source: RNAcentral